This 460-nucleotide ribosomal RNA is filed under the name uncultured bacterium. RNAcentral describes it as "partial 16S ribosomal RNA". It matches the Rfam family "Bacterial small subunit ribosomal RNA", at positions 338 to 795 of the family's 1533-position model. The record is from RNAcentral.
CCUACGGGAGGCAGCAGUGAUGAAUAUUGGUCCAUGGACGCAAGUCUGAACCAGCCAUGCCGCGUGCAGGAAGACGGCUCUAUGAGUUGUCAACUGCUUUUGUACGAGGGUAAACGCAGAUACGCGUAUCUGUCUGAAAGUAUCGUACGAAUAAGGAUCGGCUAACUCCGUGCCCGCAGCCGCGGUAAUACGGAGGAUUCAAGCGUUCUCCGGAUUUAUUGGGUUCAAAGGGUGCGUAGGCGGUCGGAUAAGUUAGAGGUGAAAUCCCGAGGCUGAAAUUCGGAAUAGCCUCUGAUACUGUUCGGCUAGAGAGUGGUUGCGGUAGGCGGAAUGUAUGGUGUAGCGGUGAAAUGCUUAGAGAUCAUACAGAACACCGAUUGCGAAGGCAGCUUACCAAGCUACUUCUGACGUUGAGGUACGAAAGCGUGGGGAGCAAACAGGAUUAGAUACCCCUGUAGUC